This 773-nucleotide ribosomal RNA is filed under the name uncultured Micrococcus sp. RNAcentral describes it as "bacterial SSU rRNA". It matches the Rfam family "Bacterial small subunit ribosomal RNA", at positions 681 to 1448 of the family's 1533-position model. The record is from RNAcentral. Lineage: Bacteria; Bacillati; Actinomycetota; Actinomycetes; Micrococcales; Micrococcaceae.
GUGGAAUGCGCGGUUAUCAGGAGGAACAUAGAAGGAGAAGGCCAAGUCUAUGGGCUGUAAAUGAACUUGAGGAGAGAAAGCAUGGGGAGCGAACAGGAUUAGAUUCCCUAGUAGUCCAUGCCGUACACUUUGUGCACUAGGUGUGGGGACCAUUACACGGUUUCCGCGCCGCAGCUAACGCAUUAAUUGCCCCGCCUGGGGAGUACGGCCGCAAGGAUAAAACUCAAAGGAAUUGACGGGGGCCCGCACAAGCGGCGGAGCAUGCGGAUUAAUUUGAUGCAACGCGAAGAACCUUACCAAGGCUUGACAUGUUCUCGAUCGCCGUAGAGAUACGGUUUCCCCUUUGGGGCGGGUUCACAGGUGGUGCAUGGUUGUCGUCAGCUCGUGUCGUGAGAUGUUGGGUUAAGUCCCGCAACGAGCGCAACCCUCGUUCCAUGUUGCCAGCACGUAAUGGUGGGGACUCAUGGGAGACUGCCGGGGUCAACUCGGAGGAAGGUGAGGACGACGUCAAAUCAUCAUGCCCCUUAUGUCUUGGGCUUCACGCAUGCUACAAUGGCCGGUACAAUGGGUUGCGAUACUGUGAGGUGGAGCUAAUCCCAAAAAGCCGGUCUCAGUUCGGAUUGGGGUCUGCAACUCGACCCCAUGAAGUCGGAGUCGCUAGUAAUCGCAGAUCAGCAACGCUGCGGUGAAUACGUUCCCGGGCCUUGUACACACCGCCCGUCAAGUCACGAAAGUCGGUAACACCCGAAGCCGGUGGCCUAACCCUUGUGGGA